GAUGAACGCUGGCGGCGUGCCUAAUACAUGCAAGUCGAGCGAACGGACGAGAAGCUUGCUUUUCUGAUGUUAGCGGCGGACGGGUGAGUAACACGUGGAUAACCUACCUAUAAGACUGGGAUAACUUCGGGAAACCGGAGCUAAUACCGGAUAAUAUUUUGAACCGCAUGGUUCAAAAGUGAAAGACGGUCCUGCUGUCACUUAUAGAUGGAUCCGCGCUGCAUUAGCUAGUUGGUAAAGUAACGGCUUACCAAGGCAACGAUGCAUAGCCGACCUGAGAGGGUGAUCGGCCACACUGGAACUGAGACACGGUCCAGACUCCUACGGGAGGCAGCAGUAGGGAAUCUUCCGCAAUGGGCGAAAGCCUGACGGAGCAACGCCGCGUGAGUGAUGAAGGUCUUCGGAUCGUAAAACUCUGUUAUUAGGGAAGAACAUAUGUGUAAGUAACUGUGCACAUCUUGACGGUACCUAAUCAGAAAGCCACGGCUAACUACGUG
This 497-nucleotide ribosomal RNA is filed under the name uncultured bacterium. Its description in RNAcentral is "partial 16S ribosomal RNA". It matches the Rfam family "Bacterial small subunit ribosomal RNA", at positions 28 to 507 of the family's 1533-position model. The record is from RNAcentral.